GACGAACGCUGGCGGCGUGCUUAACACAUGCAAGUCGAACGGAAAGGCCCUGCUUUUGUGGGGUGCUCGAGUGGCGAACGGGUGAGUAACACGUGAGUAACCUGCCCUUGACUUUGGGAUAACUUCAGGAAACUGGGGCUAAUACCGGAUAGGAGCUCCUGCUGCAUGGUGGGGGUUGGAAAGUUUCGGCGGUUGGGGAUGGACUCGCGGCUUAUCAGCUUGUUGGUGGGGUAGUGGCUUACCAAGGCUUUGACGGGUAGCCGGCCUGAGAGGGUGACCGGCCACAGUGGGACUGAGAUACGGCCCAGACUCCUACGGGGGGCAGCAGUGGGGAAUAUUGCACAAUGGGCGGAAGCCUGAUGCAGCAACGCCGCGUGCGGGAUGACGGCCUUCGGGUUGUAAACCGCUUUCGCCUGUGACGAAGCGUGAGUGACGGUAAUGGGUAAAGAAGCACCGGCUAACUCCGUG
This 468-nucleotide ribosomal RNA is filed under the name uncultured bacterium. RNAcentral describes it as "partial 16S ribosomal RNA". It matches the Rfam family "Bacterial small subunit ribosomal RNA", at positions 28 to 507 of the family's 1533-position model. The record is from RNAcentral.